This 253-nucleotide ribosomal RNA is filed under the name uncultured bacterium. RNAcentral describes it as "partial 16S ribosomal RNA". It matches the Rfam family "Bacterial small subunit ribosomal RNA", at positions 524 to 776 of the family's 1533-position model. The record is from RNAcentral.
UACGUAGGGUGCAAGCGUUAAUCGGAAUUACUGGGCGUAAAGCGUGCGCAGGCGGUUAUGCAAGACAGAUGUGAAAUCCCCGGGCUCAACCUGGGAACUGCAUUUGUGACCGCAUAGCUAGAGUGCGGCAGAGGGAGAUGGAAUUCCGCGUGUAGCAGUGAAAUGCGUAGAUAUGCGGAGGAACACCGAUGGCGAAGGCAAUCUCCUGGGCCUGCACUGACGCUCAUGCACGAAAGCGUGGGGAGCAAACAGG